GGUUAAGCGACUAAGCGUACACGGUGGAUGCCCUGGCAGUCAGAGGCGAUGAAGGGCGUGCUAAUCUGCGAUAAGCGCCGGUAAGGUGAUAUGAACCGUUAUAACCGGCGAUACCCGAAUGGGGAAACCCAGUGUGACUCGUCACACUAUCAUUAACUGAAUCCAUAGGUUAAUGAGGCGAACCGGGGGAACUGAAACAUCUAAGUACCCCGAGGAAAAGAAAUCAACCGAGAUUCCCCCAGUAGCGGCGAGCGAACGGGGAGGAGCCCAGAGCCUGAAUCAGCAUGUGUGUUAGUGGAAGCGUCUGGAAAGGCGCGCGAUACAGGGUGACAGCCCCGUACACAAAAGCGCAUGUGCUGUGAGCUCGAUGAGUAGGGCGGGACACGUGGUAUCCUGUCUGAAUAUGGGGGGACCAUCCUCCAAGGCUAAAUACUCCUGACUGACCGAUAGUGAACCAGUACCGUGAGGGAAAGGCGAAAAGAACCCCGGCGAGGGGAGUGAAAAAGAACCUGAAACCGUGUACGUACAAGCAGUGGGAGCACAGGUUUACCUGUGUGACUGCGUACCUUUUGU
RNAcentral lists this ribosomal RNA (573 nucleotides) under Salmonella enterica subsp. enterica serovar Muenchen. Its description in RNAcentral is "partial 23S ribosomal RNA". It matches the Rfam family "Bacterial large subunit ribosomal RNA", at positions 1 to 611 of the family's 2925-position model. The record is from RNAcentral. Lineage: Bacteria; Pseudomonadati; Pseudomonadota; Gammaproteobacteria; Enterobacterales; Enterobacteriaceae. RNAcentral also lists the same sequence under 1 other name.